AUUUGGACCCAAAUUUCAUUGGCUCAUCACAUCGAGCCACGCCUCUUACCGCGCAUCGAGCCGCCGACGAUGCGCGUUGUUUCACCCAUUCACCUUGUUUUUUACAUCAUGAAUAUACCCACAGUUGUGUUAAUACAGAAAGCACAGAAAGUAACGUGAUAAAUACAAAGAAAAAAUAUACCAUUUGGAGUGUUAAGUAAUAAUAUAUCUAGUAUCUGUAUUUGCAUAAAUUGUGAAAAAAAAUGGUAAAAGCUUGUUGUGUGAAAAAUUGCAAAUCUUCUUGGUUUCCAGGAAUUAACCUAUCAUUCUUUUGUGUUCCUUUUUCUAACAAAGACCUUUUUAAUAAAUGGGUAGGGGUUAUUCCCAGCAAAGGUCCUAUUGGAAAAUAUUCAGUUAUAUGUAGUGAACAUUUUAAGGAUUAUGAUUUUAAAUAUUCGAGUGGUAAACGGUUUUUAAAAAAAAAUGUUGUGCCUAGUUCUUUCUCACAUGAUGUAUUGAGUGAUAUUACUUUGAAAUCAAAUAUAACGACUAGUAAUUUAACCCAAGAUGUAUUACAUUUAGAUCAUAUAUAUAGUACAUCAAUCAUACUUAAAGAGGAAACUGUCAACACAAUGAAUGAAUGUGAGGAAGAUAUAAAAUUUAAGGACAUUGCUACUCAAACCAAGAUUGAGUUAAAACAUCAAAACAGAGAACAUCAAUUGAAAGAAAAAAUCAGAUGUCUUCAGAAUAAAUUACGGCGCCGAGAAAAAAGAAUUGAUCACAUGACUGCCUUAGUGAAAGUCCUAAAAAGGAAGCUAAAUGCACAGAUAAAGUGCUUUAAAAGAAUGCACUAAAAAAAGUGCUUUUACGAAAACUUUCUGACUUUCAGUUAAAAGUUUUUAAAAACAAAAUGUAAAAUACUAUUAUAGUAAAACUUGAGAUCAAUAUUCAAAUAAUAUGAAAGAAUUUGCGUCUAUUUUAUAUUUUUAUUCUCUUAAAGUUUAUCGAUAUUUAUGAACAGUAUUACAUUUACCAGAAGAAUCUGUACUCUGUAAAAUGAUCAGAAAAUUUUGUGUAAGGGAAAUCUCGGAACCACAUUUUCAAUUGUUCAGCCAAAUCUUUCUCGUUCGUGAACACCAAACUGUUGUCAUUAUGCCUCACUAAUUCGGAUAAGCUAAAAAAUCAAGUUGUAAUUUAUUAAUAAGUAGAUCUAUUUAAUAGUUACAUUAGAUCGUAUUAAUUAUUGGUGUACCAAUUAAAAUUAUAUGCGCAAACUGGUAAACGGCAGCCAAACAUGUCAACGACUUUCAUUGGUAAAUCUAAUCCACUGGAUGAGAUGUGAAGGCAUACACCUAAAUCUGCACUAGCUGUUUUAAAGGAAACUUCAUAAUACCUAAUAUUUUGGGAUAAUCUUCAUUCUCAAGCCAUGGUGUCUUUACUUCAACAUGUUUCCAUUUUUUUAAGUUAAUAAUAGCCUUAUAGAAGUCUUUUAAUGGUCCUUUGCCAGUUAUUACACAGACCAAAUCUGGUAAAUUUAACUCGCCAUCUUCACACGCAUCUUCAUACUCUAGAAAAAAAUAUUAUAUAUGUAAUUCUUUUUAGUUGCAUACUUGUACAAAAUUACAUGAAUAAAAUAGAUUUACAUAAA
RNA transcript from Solenopsis invicta (red fire ant), 1627 nucleotides. It is a transcript of the gene named THAP domain-containing protein 1, with no coding region annotated. The transcript is spliced from 6 exons. The record is from RefSeq and is a predicted model, not a curated record. Lineage: Eukaryota; Metazoa; Arthropoda; Insecta; Hymenoptera; Formicidae.